This 403-nucleotide ribosomal RNA is filed under the name Bathydoris aioca. Its description in RNAcentral is "partial 16S ribosomal RNA". It matches the Rfam family "Bacterial large subunit ribosomal RNA", at positions 1920 to 2597 of the family's 2925-position model. The record is from RNAcentral. Lineage: Eukaryota; Metazoa; Mollusca; Gastropoda; Nudibranchia; Bathydoridae.
AUUAUAAAUGGCCGCGGUACUUUGACCGUGCUAAGGUAGCGUAAUUAGUUGGUUUUUAAAUGGAGUCAGGAAUGAAUGGAUUAACGGGGAUAAGCUGUCUCUUAUUUGUUUAUUUGAAAUUACCUUUCGGUGAAAAGGCUUGAUUAUAAACGUAAAGACGAGAAGACCCUUAGAGUUUUGCUUACAGUAAAAUAAAAUAUUAUUUAUAAGGGUUUAGUUGGGGUGACAAAGGAGUAGAGUAAAAUCUCCUUUAUUAUUAACAAGUCGAUUUUUAUAGGAAAGAAUAAACUACCUUAGGGAUAACAGCAUAAUUUUAUUAUUAAGUUUGUGACCUCGAUGUUGGACUAGGAAACUAAUGAGUUAGCCGCUUAUUAUGUAAGGUUCUGUUCGAACUUAAUUUCCU